GCAGCAUACGGAGGUUUCCAGGCUAGGGUGUGGAAUCAGAGCUAUAGCUGCUGGCCUAUACCACAGCCACAGCAACGCCAGAUCCACAGCUCAUGGCAAUGCCAGAUCCUUAACCCACUGAGUGAGGCCAGGGAUCGAACUCACAUCCUUAUGGAUCCUAGUCAAUUUUGUUAAACCACUGAGCCACGAGGGGAACUCCAACCAUGAUAAUAUUAAUAUUAGGAGUUAAUGUUGUGGCUCAGUGGGUUAAGGACUAGACGUUGUCUCUGUGAGGAUGAGAAUUUGAUCCCUGGCCAUACUCAGUUGGUUAAGGAUCUGGUGUUGCCACAGCUGUGGCAUAGGUUGCAGAUGUGGCUUGGAUCUGGUUUUGCCAUAGCUGUGGUGUAGGCCAUAGUUGCAGCGCUCAUUUGACCCCUGGCUCAGGAACUUCCAUGUGCUGCAGGUGUAACUAUAAAAAGAAAAAAGAAAAAAGAAAAAAAUUAAUAUUAAGAACAUUUAGAUUAGUAGAUCCAACUUUUUAAGUAUUUUAGUAUUUUAAAAUAGUUUGCUAUUUAGCUUUUGAUUGUUUUUAGUGUUUUCAAUAUGUUGAAGAUGUGAAUUACUAAAAUGAGGAUGAAAUUAAAUGGUUGAAGUGGAAAUGCAGUAAUUUGGCUAGCUCUUCUCUCUAGAUGAAAAAUAUAUCCUGAAGAAAUUCAAUUCCUUGGAACCAAAUACAUUUUAAAAUUCUAAUUCAUUUUUCUUGCAAUUUAUAGGUCUAGCAUUAUUAAAAUAUUCAUAUCGUUGAGCUAAUGAGGCAUAACAAAUUUAAUUUGCAAAACAAAGAUGACAGGAAUAGAACAUGAUCCAUAAUCACUUUUUUCUAAGCCUCAUGUUGUAGGCACUUCAUCAGAAAGAGAGACAGAUCAGACAUAUUUUAUAACUCCGUAGAACUUUGCAGAUAAACUCUUGGAAGAUUGUGGAAUAAUAGAAUUUUGGAACAAAACGUUUUGUAUCGUUUUCACUGUUUCUCAUUUGAGUAGGGUGCAACCCCACUGUGCUUGUCAGGGUUGUUUGACACGUGUAGGGGUGCAUUGUGUUGUUUGUCACCAGGAAGUCUUCAUUCCACAGUGUCAAUUGAUUCCGUGAAGGGGGAACAGAAGAGGGAUGGUAGAGAGAGCCACGGAUCGCCUUGCUGGUCCAUGGCCAGCUCCAGUGCAGAGAUGGCCAUGGCGGAUCCAUGUGGUGGGCAGAAAUGGCCAGACGCUCCUAUGAUGACCAUACUCCACUGCUGGCUGGAGCUUCUUGACAAGGGGAGGGGGGCUCCCUUUCAACCUGGGAGCCCAUCCCAGGGGGCUGCCCGCUAGGUGUCCUCCUCGUAGCUGAUACACAGGCUCUUCCUCAGAGGUGGCUGCGAGUAGCCCAUCUCCAACUCUGCAGCCCAUCUCCAACUUGGUUCCUAAAUCCAGCUGAGCAUCCAUCUGGAGGCUGUUUGCCAUGGAUACCACAGAUGGCCAGAGUUCAGCACUGGUACACGGCUGGACCGUCUGAGUUCGUAGCAUCUCUUACGGGGAGAUUAUUCACCUUUCCUUCUGGUUUUUCGGGGGAGUGUGCAGAAGGAGCCUGGCAAGGAGCUCAAGGGGUUUUGCUGUGAUAAAGCUUGUCUGUUUGAAGGGCCAUUUAACUCUGCCUAAAGCAGGGGUUCUUGUUUUCAGUUCUAGUAGUAGGGGUGGUGGUAAUUACAGCAGGAGGGGGGAGAGGAAGAGACGUAGCAGUAGUAUUAAUAGGAAUAAUAAUCAUAGCUAAUGCUUCAUGGACACGGUGAUAAGGUCUGCCGUGUAAAAUCUUAUGCACUACUUACAAGAACACUACAGAGCAAGUAUUGGUAUUAUUUUCAUUUCAGAGAUAAUAUAUGCAGAGGUUAAAUAGACUGAUACAGGAAAGAAGUGGAAUUUCAGACCCAUGUGCUAGGAUUCCCCAAGCACCUGUUGCUGUUCGCUACCAUUUCAAAUCUAGAUGUGGGUUUGAUUAUUCCACGUGCUUAUUGCAUAAUGUGCCUCGUACCUAUGUAUUUAAUUAUUGUUAGGCCUCCAUUUGCUCACCUGUAGAAAGUCAAGAAUAACAAGAACCAACCUGACUUUGUCAUGGCGUUAAUGUGAGAAAAAAAAAGGAUGAUGUUGAGAAAGGGCUCUAUGAAAUGUAAACUCUUCAUCGGUAAUGUUGGUUAUUAUCGUACUGGUAUGAAAUAGUCUGCGUUCUGGAAAGGAGAGUGCCAUGCCUUUAUGCAAGUCUGACCGUAGCAGGGCUGGGAGAUUCAUUCUCAGGAAUUACUAUGAUCGCAGAAAUUUGAGAGCUGGAAAGGCUCUGGAGAUGAUCCCGUUCGGUGGUUCUCAACGCAGCUACCUGUUUAUUUCUUUUGGGGGGAGCUUUUCAACAUUGUGGAUGCCCAGGAGUCAGUCCAUUUCCAGAGAUCCUGUUUCAUUGGUCUGGAGGAGGGCGUAGACAUCUCAGUGUAUUACAUGAAAACACAUGUGCAUUUGUCCAUGUAAAGUGUACAUACACAUGCACGUGUGUGUAUGUGCUUGUGUGUGUGUGUGCGCACGCAUGCAUGUGUGUAUUCUCCAAGGUGAUUCUGAUGUGUAGUCAGGAGGCACACAUGACCAAAUAAACCAACCAGCUUCUUUCUGAUAACUGGGAUGCUCAUUGCUUUGCCCAGGACGGUGACAGCCAACCUCUGCUGCCCAGGGUCCCAGCUGAUAAGCCCACCCCUUUUCCCUCUCGUGUGUCGUGGUCUGGAUGAUAAAUUCUCCCUUCCUCUGCUGAUGAGGAACUGAGGCUUUGGGAGGCUCUUUUCCUUCCGAAAGAAACUGCAUAGAGCGUCCACCUUGGGCUUUCAGGGUUCCCUUGGGAGUCUUGUGGAACAUGUGCCUCCUCCUUCAAGAGAGAAUUUCUUCAUUUUGCUAGGAUCAUAAGACCUUUCUUCUUUUUCUUUUUCUUUGUGUUUUUUGUCUUUUUAGGGCCGCACCCGCAGCAUAUGGAAAUUCCCAGGUUAGGGGUCGAUUCGCAGCUGUUGCUACUGGCCUACACCGCAGCCAUAGCAACACAGGAUCCGAGCCACAUCUGUGACCUACACCUCAUCACAUGGCAACACGGAUCCUUAAUCCACUGAGCGAGGCCAGGGAUCAAACCCACAUCCUCAGGAAUACUAGUCAGGUUCAUUACGGCUGAGCCACGAUGGAAACUCCAAGAGCUCUUCAGUAGAGAACUCCACUGUGUUGCCACGUAACCCACCUGAGUUUUGCGAUCCCGAGAUCUCCCAUCUCACCUGAAUCAUGGAUGCCAACCACCUUUCAGCACUGUUUCAGUUGCUGCAGGCACCUUCUCUGGAAUGCCAGCCAUUGCAAUUGAGGAAAUGACAUUCGGAAAACAGAUGACCCGCUUAUCAACCUCUCAGAACUUAUUCUCCGAACACCAUGCAGGGCAGUGUGGCCCUUGCUGGACAGGACAUCGCUGAUGACAACGUCUGUGAGACCUCUGCCCAACAGAACAUUUGACGUCGACCGAGAGAUCUGACCUGUCACUGCUUGGACAGCCGCUGCUGCCAACGUCGGUGGAGACUUUCUCGGCCAGUGUCAAAUCUGAUUUUGGCAUUGAGGUUGGCGUAACUGAGCAUAAACAUGCCCCUGAAGAAUUAGGACACUUCUCAGGUAGUCGUCUGCCUUUUGGGGGUACACAGGAAGUCGGUAUUCAGUACCCAUGGGAUGCUGUGGUUGUGACACAUGUUUUCUGUGACAGUCAUUUGCAUUUCUCCUCAUCAUUGGGCGUACCGUUCCGCUGACUCAAUCAGAAGUGCCCAUCUCGGAAGAUGAAACACUUCCAUUGAAGGACAUCAGAGGGGAAUAAAGGACAGUGGACGUUCCUGUCCCCCCGCAUUAAUGGCUUCACCGCCUCGGGCGAUCCAGGGGAUGUAUGACACCCCAAAGAUGCAGUGUUGUCCGGGAGACUGCAGUCUUCACGGUUUUAUUUGCCACACAUUGUGGGUGAAAGAGACGGAUUUGAUCUUCUUUUGCAAGGUUCAGGAAAACCCUUUGCAAAAUAUGCUGAUGCUUUUCUUUGAUUGCAGAAUUGCAUUAGUCUCACUGCUGAUGGUAGAAAUGUGUUGGGCUGGUCCACAUGGCUCCUCAGCACACCGUGGGCUCCUGUUACUCAAAAAAAAAAAAAAUAAGUGUAGGGAGUUUCCUGGUGGCCUCGUGGUUGGCGACGUGGCAUUGUCACUGCUGUGGCUUGGGUUCCAUCCCUGGCCUGGGACCUUCUACAUGCCU
Molecule: long non-coding RNA, 4298 nt
Filed under: Sus scrofa (pig)
Lineage: Eukaryota; Metazoa; Chordata; Mammalia; Artiodactyla; Suidae
Description: lncRNA (ENSSSCG00030045804.1)
Source: RNAcentral